RNAcentral lists this ribosomal RNA (1458 nucleotides) under Triticum aestivum (bread wheat). RNAcentral describes it as "partial small subunit ribosomal RNA". The record is from RNAcentral. Lineage: Eukaryota; Viridiplantae; Streptophyta; Magnoliopsida; Poales; Poaceae.
AUGUACGUACUGCAGGAGGAGGAUGUAAAUGAUAAAUCCAUACCUACAGUUGGAAUGGCAUUUAAGUCUGAGGAUGAGGCAUAUGAUUUUUAUAACCAACAUGCUCGUAAAGUUGGCUUCAGCAUUCGAAAGAGCCACACGAAGUUGAGACGAGAUGGAACACUUUAUCAGAAACAUUUGGUUUGCAGCAAACAGGGUGAACGAGAAACUCAUUCAUCGCAUGACACCAAGAAAGAAAAUGCCACAACAAGGUGUGAUUGUGAUGCCCGUGUUCAGCUCAGUAUUUCUCGUGAUGGCGUUUGGAAUGUGCAAAAGGUUAUUCUUGAGCACAACCAUGAUUUGGCAAGUCUAGAUAAGAGGCACAUGUUGAGGUCGCAACGUCGUAUUGCGGCGUCUGAUAAACUUAUGAUUGGUGAGAUGCGUGAAGCCGGAAUAAAGCCAGCCGAAGUGUACGGUUUUUUCAAGCAGUGGUAUAAAGGACCCCAUAAUGUACCUUUCUUGCGGAUGGAUUCCAAUAACCACAUUGGUCGUGAGCGCAGGAAGUAUCUGGAAGUUAAUGAUGCACAAACAUUGCUGGAAUUCCUAAAGAACAAGCAGUUAAAUGAUCCUUCUUUUUUUUAUGCUAUACAAUUAUAUGAAGAGGAUUGCCGGAUAGCUAAUUUCUUUUGGGCAGAUGGUGAAGCUAUCAUGGACUAUGAUUGCUUUGGUGAUGUUUUGUCCUUUGACACAACAUUUCAGACAAACAAGUUUGAAAUGCCUUUUGCACCACUACUUGGAACAAAUCAUCAUAAGCAGACCAUUCUUUUUGGAGCUGCGUUGCUAUGUGAUGAAACCACAGAUUCAUUUAUCUGGCUCUUCAACACAUUCUUAACCGCCAUGUCUGGCAAGGCACCCGCAACAAUAUUCACCGAUUGUGCUGCCAUGGCGAAAGCAAUCAGGAUUGUUCUCCCAAAUACAAAGCACCGUCUCUGUUUGUGGCACAUUUAUCAAAAUGCUCCUAAGCAUCUUAGCCAUGUAAUUUCAGACCAUCCUAAGUUCCUUGCUGAUUUUAAGAGAUGUGUCUAUGAGGAAAGGUCAGUGGCAUACUUUGAAAUGAAGUGGCAAGAAUUGUUGACUGCUUACAACCUUCAGGAUAACACAUGGUUACAACAACUAUAUGAUCUGCGUGAGAAGUGGGCUACUGUCUACCGCCGUGAUUCCUUUUGCGCCAACAUGACUUCAACUCAAAGGAGCGAAGGUAUGAACAAUGUGUUUAAGAAAAGAUUUCGUAAGAGACUUUGCCUUUCAGAACUCCUAGUAGAAUAUGAUAAGUGUGCCGCUAGCCUUCGGGAAAAUGAACUCGACGAGGACUAUAGAUCACGUCAGUCUAAACCGGUCACCUGCAUUAGAAACUUACCUAUGUUGAAGACUGCUGCCGAAUCGUAUACAAGAAGCCUUUAUUCUGAAUUUGAGGAGUAG